UACGGAGGGUGCAAGCGUUGUCCGGAUUUAUUGGGUUUAAAGGGUACGUAGGCGGUAUAAUAAGUCAGUGGUGAAAGUCUUCAGCUUAACUGGAGGACUGCCAUUGAUACUGUUAAACUAGAGUAUGGUCGAGGUAGGCAGAAUUGAUAGUGUAGCGGUGAAAUGCAUAGAUAUUAUCAAGAAUACCGAUAGCGAAGGCAGCUUACUAGACCGUAACUGACGCUGAUGUACGAAAGCGUGGGUAGCGAACAGG
This 253-nucleotide ribosomal RNA is filed under the name uncultured bacterium. Its description in RNAcentral is "partial 16S ribosomal RNA". It matches the Rfam family "Bacterial small subunit ribosomal RNA", at positions 524 to 776 of the family's 1533-position model. The record is from RNAcentral.